GUUCUUACUCCUAAUGACGACAGUACUGAUACAAUGAAGGACAAUUCCCCGCAUUCAGCUGAGGAAAAUGUGGGCAUCCUGGACCAAUUAUCACCAAAAGUUAGGAAUCGUGUGGAAUAUCUCAUAGAAGUUCAGGAAGCCUUUGAUAAGGUGCUGGAUGAGUUAUUUGAGGAGCUAUCACGGUUGGAGGAUAAAUACGAGAAGCUAUUUGCG
Molecule: non-coding RNA, 213 nt
Organism: Vigna umbellata (rice bean)
Lineage: Eukaryota; Viridiplantae; Streptophyta; Magnoliopsida; Fabales; Fabaceae
Source: RefSeq, a predicted model, not a curated record